Molecule: non-coding RNA, 475 nt
Organism: Heterocephalus glaber (naked mole-rat)
Lineage: Eukaryota; Metazoa; Chordata; Mammalia; Rodentia; Bathyergidae
Source: RefSeq, a predicted model, not a curated record
AAAGCUCAAAAUGCUCCGACAGUGUUUAAUUUAUUAAAAAAAGAGGGGGGAAAUCUGGUUGAUUCCAGUAUUGCUACAUAAAAUUGAUUUUUUAAACAGAAGGAUUUGAUUCAGUGCAGGAAUAGCAUCUUAUGUAACGAGCUAGAAAAACUCAACAUAGAGUUGGAUCUAACAAGUACAACCAGACAUCAUUAUGAAGAUGUAUGGUAGCCUGUUAGACAGUGAUUUGAACAUAUCACUCCCUCUACCUCAGGCACUUUGCAUCAUCCAUUCCUGCACCCUCUUCAGAUAAGGAGCAGAUGGCAGACAAUGAAAUCCAAACCCUUUGCCCCAACACUGAAGGGCACAUCAGGCAGAGCUCCCUGUGGGUUUGGUUAAGAAUUUUGUUGUGAAAACAUUACUGCCCAACUUCUCCCCCUGCCUCUUCCUACUCACUUCCCUUCUAUUACCAGAGUCAAGUACUCCAUGAUAAACU